GUCUCCGUAGCUCAGCUGGAUAGAGCGUCCGCCUCCUAAGCGGCAGAUUGUUCGAUUCCUUCGAGCCU
RNAcentral lists this transfer RNA (68 nucleotides) under Faecalibacterium prausnitzii. RNAcentral's name for it is "tRNA-Arg". Lineage: Bacteria; Bacillati; Bacillota; Clostridia; Eubacteriales; Oscillospiraceae. The record is from RNAcentral.